AGCGUGAUGGCGCAGCUGGUAGCGCGCUGGGCUCAUAACCCAGAGGUCGUCGGAUCGAAACUGACUCCCGCU
This 72-nucleotide transfer RNA is filed under the name Cronartium quercuum f. sp. banksianae CqE3WM. Its description in RNAcentral is "tRNA-iMet (CAT) (tRNA-iMet-CAT-1-1)". It matches the Rfam family "tRNA". From Rfam's summary of the family: Transfer RNA (tRNA) molecules are approximately 80 nucleotides in length. Lineage: Eukaryota; Fungi; Basidiomycota; Pucciniomycetes; Pucciniales; Coleosporiaceae. The record is from RNAcentral.